CCUACGGGAGGCAGCAGUAAGGAAUAUUGGUCAAUGGACGAAAGUCUGAACCAGCCAUGCCGCGUGAAGGAUGAAGGCCCUCUGGGUUGUAAACUUCUUUUAUCUGGGACGAAAAAAGCUCAUUCUUGAGCACUUGACGGUACCAGAGGAAUAAGCACCGGCUAACUCCGUGCCAGCAGCCGCGGUAAUACGGAGGGUGCAAGCGUUAUCCGGAUUCACUGGGUUUAAAGGGUGCGUAGGUGGGUCUGUAAGUCAGUGGUGAAAUCUCCGGGCUUAACUCGGAAACUGCCAUUGAUACUAUAGGUCUUGAAUCAUCUGGAGGUAAGCGGAAUAUGUCAUGUAGCGGUGAAAUGCUUAGAUAUGACAUAGAACACCAAUUGCGAAGGCAGCUUACUACGGGUGUAUUGACACUGAGGCACGAAAGCGUGGGGAUCAAACAGGAUUAGAUACCCUGGUAGUCCACGCCCUAAACGAUGGAUACUCGACAUCAGCGAUACACUGUUGGUGUCUGAGCGAAAGCAUUAAGAUCCCACCUGGAAGUACGACCGCAAGGUUGAAACUCAAAGAGUAGUUACGCGNGAGAGAGACGACGAGACGACGACGGAGGGAGGAG
RNAcentral lists this ribosomal RNA (613 nucleotides) under uncultured bacterium. RNAcentral's name for it is "bacterial SSU rRNA". It matches the Rfam family "Bacterial small subunit ribosomal RNA", at positions 338 to 1417 of the family's 1533-position model. The record is from RNAcentral.